RNAcentral lists this ribosomal RNA (259 nucleotides) under uncultured bacterium. RNAcentral describes it as "partial 16S ribosomal RNA". It matches the Rfam family "Bacterial small subunit ribosomal RNA", at positions 524 to 776 of the family's 1533-position model. The record is from RNAcentral.
UACGUAGGGUGCAAGCGUUAUCCGGAAUUAUUGGGCGUAAAGAGCUCGUAGGCGGUUUGUCGCGUCUGCUGUGAAAACUGGGGGGCCUCCAACCCCCCAGCCUGCAGGUGGGUACGGGGCAGACUAGAGUGCGGUAGGGGAGAUUGGAAUUCCUGGUGUAGCGGUGGAAUGCGCAGAUAUCAGGAGGAACACCGAUGGCGAAGGCAGAUCUCUGGGCCGUAACUGACGCUGAGGAGCGAAAGCAUGGGGAGCGAACAGG